RNAcentral lists this unclassified non-coding RNA (2130 nucleotides) under Leishmania donovani. RNAcentral's name for it is "gene:LdHU3.07.1030(CDS-product:hypothetical_prote in_conserved)". The record is from RNAcentral. Lineage: Eukaryota; Euglenozoa; Kinetoplastea; Trypanosomatida; Trypanosomatidae.
GAGAUCGUGAGAAACCUGUGUCUGCGUGUGUGUGGGUCUGCGCAUCGUGCGUGCAACAGGCUUCGUGGCAUCGACGGCGCCGUGACUGCGCUGCACAGCAACUCAGCACUUCUGAGGCGCACACGCGCACAACGAGGUGGACGUUUCACGCUCAUCUAGAGGCGCCUGCACAUGUCGCCUCAGCUCCAUGGUCGUGUGCUUCGCUGCUGCUGCGCCAACGCUACUUUGUGCCCAGCAUCUGCCGCGCGUGAGGUCCAUGUGGGGCUCAUGACACGGAUGACCAGUGUGCGCGUGCGCGGCAGCACUAUGGCGAUGCGCACCCGCGGCGCCAACUGGGGUGUGGCUGCUACAGUGUGCUCGUAUCGGUGUGUGAGCAGUGGCACCUCGCAGCACCAGCAGCAGCACGUCGCCGCAGACGAGCUCCGCGCUGCUCUGCGUACGCUGGGACUCGCCGAAGAAAGCACAGAUGCGGAGGUAAAGCGAGCCUUUCAAGCCUUUGCCAUACAACACCACCCCGACACGAAUGCUGUUUGGGCGGCAGCGCUGUCGAGCUCAGACGAGGCGAGCAGCAACACCAGGAGCCAAGCACACGCGGCGGAGCGCAUGCGACUUGGCACAGAGGCAUACCAGCUCCUUCGGCGGAUCCCAUACGGCGUGCGGCAGCAUAUUCUACGCGGGGAGGGGCAGGGCGGUGGCGUUGAUGUGCGAGGCCGGUUUCGUGGCCCACACGACGCCAACUUCACGUUUACGGCGGAAGAGUACGCGAAGGUGCAGCGGAUUUACCAAGGCGACCGUCACCGUCGUCGGCGCCACCGCGGCGGUCGUGACAAGAGCGGUGGCGCUGGCGACGGCAACGGUGACGAAGAUCUCUUCGACGCCCGAACGGAGGAGGGCCGUCGCCGCAUUGCCCGACUGAACGAAUUCCAAGCUCGUGUCGUGGAGAUGCGCCGGCGAGGCAUCCGCGACGACCUGCCGCCGUGGAGGGUCUACGAGAACGACAAGGGCGCCGGCACGGUGGGCGAUAGCAGGUCAGCGUCAACAAGUGGAGGUGACGCCGGGGAUGGACAUCAGGAGCGUCACGGCAGCCGCGCCGCCGGCAGCGGCCCGCGCAACACAAACCGCCUGGGCCUGCACUUCUUCAAUGUCACAACAUCCAGCUUGAGGGAGGUGCGUGAUCUCUACCGUAGCCGACCAGGCUUUGCGGGGAUGGACGGCAGCUCCUACGACAACCCACACAGCGCCGCGCGCGUCGCGCCGGAGAUCAGCUCCAACCCGCACCUGCGCCAGUACAUCUUGAUGAAAAGCCGUGCGCAGGAAAAGGCGAUCGUAGACCGUGCCGUGGGGCGGCCGCUCCUGCUGUUCCUCCUGCUGGUUACCCUCUCGGCCGCGAUGGUAAUGAUGGCGGCGACGGUUCGAUCGUAUCGCAUGCGCAUGCAGAAGGAUGAGGACCUUCGCCGGCGUGACGAGGAGAGAGGCGGCGCAUGAACGACGCGUGGAGUGAGGGCGGGGCGUGCAGUCAAAACACCGAAGCCUCCUGCACACCAAUCGGAUACGAGCCAGCUUCGCAGCGAAGGCGAAAAAAGGUAAAAAGGAGGCGCGACCACCACAACCAACAGAAGAGAGUUACCAGCAGCAGCAGCGGCUGAGGGGAUGGACAGGUGUGCCUGUCUGCGAGUGUGCGCAUGUGCAUGUGCUUAGCGCUCAGCUGGAUGAGAAGUAAGAAUGGUGGUGAGGCGGAGGGGCGUCAGGUGGAAGGGCGUAAGGAGACGAAGUGUGGAACGUGGCCAGUGAUCCCCCUUCCUCACAGGUGCAGAGAGACGCGCACGCAUGCACACAUACAAACAUCAACUGCACACGUAGAAAAUUCUGUGGUUGUGCUUUCUCUUCUCACGCCCUGCAGGAGUGAAGCUCGCUCGCUCUCCCCUCUGCCACGCAUCCAGCUAUUCUUGCAUGCGAUCUACGCUUACCAGGCCCUCGCCACCCAUCGCCAGUGCUGCAUUGUCGAUCGCCAACGCCAGCUCUCUCUCCUUCUCUUCCUGCGAAUCUCCUGCUCUUACGGUGAUGAUCUUUCGGCUACGUUACCAUCUUCGCACACACGCGUACAUACACGUGCACGCACACUCGAAUCAG